AACGACACCAUUGACUGCUGCUUUUUCUACAGCAUAGAAGAUUUCGAUUGCGGAUUCAUGACAGAUUAUGUUCAAAGAGUCAAUGGGUGCAGGCUGCCUAGCGUCGUCUUCAAAACCAAUAAGGAUACUGAGGUCUGUGCCGAUGCCCACAGCACAACAGUGAAGGAGUGUAUGGAAGAACUGGACGCAGCCAAGAAGAAAGGGGAAAAGGUCGAUUGAGGAGGAGCUACAAUAGAUGCCACACACCCACCUCCAUUCUCUCACCUUCUGGGAGUUUCUUGGCCUGAAUUCUUUUGUCAAAAGCAACAAUUCUGUUCUGUUCUGGCUGUAAAAACUAGGCACCAAUAAAAACUGUUGAAUUUGACUAUACUUGAAAUGGAAGAGGAAUAAGAAAUAUAGGAAU
This is a long non-coding RNA of Phyllostomus discolor (pale spear-nosed bat), 403 nucleotides long. RefSeq lists it as uncharacterized. The record is from RefSeq and is a predicted model, not a curated record. Lineage: Eukaryota; Metazoa; Chordata; Mammalia; Chiroptera; Phyllostomidae. The transcript is spliced from 2 exons.